RNAcentral lists this ribosomal RNA (497 nucleotides) under uncultured bacterium. Its description in RNAcentral is "partial 16S ribosomal RNA". It matches the Rfam family "Bacterial small subunit ribosomal RNA", at positions 28 to 507 of the family's 1533-position model. The record is from RNAcentral.
GAUGAACGCUGGCGGCGUGCCUAAUACAUGCAAGUCGAGCGAACAGAUGAGGAGCUUGCUCCUCUGACGUUAGCGGCGGACGGGUGAGUAACACGUGGAUAACCUACCUAUAAGACUGGGAUAACUUCGGGAAACCGGAGCUAAUACCGGAUAAUAUAUUGAACCGCAUGGUUCAAUAGUGAAAGACGGUUUUGCUGUCACUUAUAGAUGGAUCCGCGCCGCAUUAGCUAGUUGGUAAGGUAACGGCUUACCAAGGCAACGAUGCGUAGCCGACCUGAGAGGGUGGUCGGCCACACGGGAACGGAGACACGGUCCAGACUCCUACGGGAGGCAGCAGAAGGGAAUGUGACGCAGUGGGCGAAAGCAUGACGGAGCAACGCCGAGUGAGUGAUAAAGGUCUUCGGAGCGUAAAACUCUGUUAUUAGGGAAGAACAAAUGUGUACGUAACUAUGCACGUCGUGACGGUACCUAAUCAGAAAGCAACGGCUAACUACGUG